RNAcentral lists this ribosomal RNA (468 nucleotides) under uncultured bacterium. RNAcentral describes it as "partial 16S ribosomal RNA". It matches the Rfam family "Bacterial small subunit ribosomal RNA", at positions 28 to 507 of the family's 1533-position model. The record is from RNAcentral.
GACGAACGCUGGCGGCGUGCUUAACACAUGCAAGUCGAACGGAAAGGCCCUGCUUUUGUGGGGUGCUCGAGUGGCGAACGGGUGAGUAACACGUGAGUAACCUGCCCUUGACUUUGGGAUAACUUCAGGAAACUGGGGCUAAUACCGGAUAGGAGCUCCUGCUGCAUGGUGGGGGUUGGAAAGUUUCGGCGGUUGGGGAUGGACUCGCGGCUUAUCAGCUGGUUGGUGGGGUAGUGGCUUACCAAGGCUUUGACGGGUAGCCGGCCUGAGAGGGUGACCGGCCACAUUGGGACUGAGGUACGGCCCAGACUCCUACGGGAGGCAGCAGGGGGGAAUAUUGCACAAUGGGCGGAAGCCUGAGGCAGCAACGCCGCGUGCGGGAUGACGGCCUUCGGGUUGUAAACCGCUUUCGCCUGUGACGAAGCGGGAGUGACGGUAAUGGGUAAAGAAGCACCGGCUAACUACGUG